CAGGGACCAAGGUCAAAGAGGGAAAGGAUAAAGAAGGACUGCCGGAUGAAGAAGGAAAGCAAGCAAAAUAAAAAAAUAAAACAUUUUAAAAAAGGAAAAAGUUAUAGUGAGAGAACAAAACAGAGAGAUGAAGAGAGAAGCUAGAUAGAGACGAUCAGAUUGGGAGAUGACGAGAAGAAAGGGAGAAUGAUGAAGCAAGAGAGCAGGUGUGAAGCUGUGAAAGAUGGCUGCAUUAUCUCACCUCCACAGGAAGAAACCAAGUGUCCAGGGAGAAAGAAGUGAGAAGAAUCAGACAAGUGGGGUUUUCGGUCCGUGCUCGUCUACUUGCUAAAAACAGCCUUUGAACCGCAGCGGUGAUCUUACAUGUGUAUAAAAAUCUUUAUUGUUUUCACACAACAACGUUUUUAUACAGUAUCUGCUUCCAAAACACACGCACGGGAUCAGGUAACAGUCCGACGUUCUAAGAAAAUGAAGAAAUCAAAAAGAAACAUGCCACAACCAUGCACAACACACACAUACCCAGGACCCACAGCUUUGUACGUCCAGAUCACGCCGUCUCAGCACCUUAUUAGGUCACUUAUUACGCCACCUUAGUAGGUCUAAAAACGGAGCAGUGUAAAAGAUUUAAGUCGAACUGGCUACUGAAGUAAAGUAGCACCAGAACAGUGAAACAUAAACAUAGAACUAUAUUUAGAUUUUAUAAACACCAGGGCUAAUGCUGCCGUCAAAUUCUCUUCAGAAACGUGUGCGUGCGAGUUCAGGGGUCAGGAUUACGACGUGGUGCGUGUUCAAGUGGUUUUGGUCGGAAAGAAAAUUUACGAUGCGUGGAAUUGUUUGUUUGUAUCAUCAGUGACGAGAAGUCAAAAGAACCACCUGCUGUAGGGGUCACAUUAAAUUAUAUUGGUGGGGGCCAUUACUUUUUUUUUUUUUUUUUAAAGUAACUUGCCACACCCACGAUUCAGAAAGCUCAUACAAUAAUUUCCCGAGUUGCGAUUAUGACAUUGUGUUGGUCAUCUGGUAAUCAUGAUACUUCUGACAGGACUUGAGGGCAGGAUGUGACAGGAAGUUGCCCGGGUGUAAAAAGUUCUUCGGGGCCACAAAGAAACUUUUCAGCACUGUUUAUAGUAGAAAUCAUCUACAAAAGGUUUUCUAAAACUGCCACUCGUCAAUUUUUUAUUUAUUAAUUUUUUUACAUGGCCCUAAAAUGGCAAUUAACCUGAAACGGUGUGGUGGUGUUUUUUGUCCCGAUAGUGUUGCCCUACUUGUGUGUGGUUUCCUGAGCUGAAGCCUUUCUUGCAACAUGUUCAUGUCACAUAAUUACAAUAAUCGAAGUUUCUGACUUGUACAAACUCCGAACAGAAUCUCAAAAUCGUCACCUGAUGAUUAAUAUACACAGCAAUGGUUAACGCUGAAAUCUUUGCAAUCCAUUUAAUAAGGAGCUUUUGUUUGAAUGAUGGCUACAACAAUCCGAAUUCCACAAUCUGUUAGGAUAAAAUAAGAAGAAAAACAUGAAGGCGUCUUCAGAUGUAAAGAUGUAAAGACUGGACCUGAGGAUAAUAACAUCAUCUGCACAGUGUACGUCUGCUUCUAUAUUUAGUCUUAUUUAACGUCGAUGUUGUUAUACUUGCUAAUUCUGGUCGACUUGCUGUCUGUAUCAGGCGUGUGGAUUAUCUGCUAAUUGAGGAAAGCAAGUUUCAAUACUGUGUCACAGGGAAGUGUUUUUAUUUGGGUCAUUUCACCUCAAAAAGGUCAAAUUGCAAUGAACUUCCCUUUACCACCUGGGUCUAUGGACAUCGACAGACAAAAAAAAAAAAAAAAGAAAAAGAAGAUCUUUUCCUGAAAAGAUCACGGUAUAACGAUGUAUAUAUAUAUAGUGGUGUAACCGAUGAUCAGCGCACGUACAAGUACUGUAAGUCUUUGGUUUUGUAAUAUACCAUAUGUACCAUUAUUAUUAGACAGGAAGUCAUUUUAUCAGAUAAAUCCUGAUUGUCUUUGGCAGCUGGAAUGAAGCAGGAAAGUAAAACAUAUUGAAAUCCUCACACACACCCAUACACAACACACACACACACACACACACACACACACACACACACUGAAAACAUUCACCUGAUUAUAAAAAUACUUCUGUAUUCAUCUUCAAAAGGUCUAAAAAUGUACAGCAUCAUAAUUCGGAUAAGGUCAUGCUUCAACUUGAUCGCAGUUUGCUAAUUAUAAUCAGUGUAAAUAGCAACAACUAUGAUAAUAUAGGUUAUAAAGAUAAUAUUGUUUAAUACACAACCACAACAUUUACAUGGAAGGAAGUGACACAUAUGGCCUGCAUCCUGAACACACACACACACACACACACACAACCUGACUGAGAUCUGAUCAGCCCGAGCAUGGAGCGUCACUGCCAGAAAAAAGGAUUUAAACAACAAUAUUUUAGCGUGUUUUCUGACUCGAGACAUGUUUAUUGUUAAACGUUUACUGACUCGAGACAUGUUUAUUGUUAAACGUUUACUGACUCGAGACAUGUUUAUUGUUAAACGUUUACUGACUCGAGACAUGUUUAUUGUUAAACGUUUACUGACUCGAGAAAUGUUUAUUAAAUGUUUACUGACUCGAGAAAUGUUUAUUGUUAAACGUUUACUGACUCGAGAAAUGUUUAUUAAAUGUUUAGUGUUUAAUGUUGAGAAAUUCUUUUAUAUUAUUGGAACAAUCUAGAUCUAAUCUACUUUGGCACUGUCUUCGAGUCGCAUUAGGAUCUUAGAGCAAGCAGUUAAAAUCCAAACAGAUUUAGCUCUCUGUAUUUAACUGCUACUGUGUAUCAUUUUGUUUGGGUUUUGGCAGGCCACCUUCUUCCCGAGAAACCAACGAGCGCCGCCAUGAUGGAUUCUAUCUGUUCGUCCUGUUGUCUAUAGGAACCCUUAUUAAAACUGGCUAGAGAGAGCGACUGAAUUAAUUAAAACUGAAACUUUUUGACCGGCAAUGUAAGAGUGUUACAUUUUCAAAUGACGGUAGUCAGAAUUAUGUAUAUAAUAAUACAACAAUACUCUAAUACAUUACUAAAAGUUCUUUUUAGAGAGAGAGAGAGAGAGAGAGAGAGAGAGAGAGAGAGAUGCAGGCCCAUGUGCACUCAUUCCAUGAAAGUGUCAGUGGUGUAACAGUAGAGAAAGGGGAGGGGGAUGUGUGAUGGAGGCAGAGCUGGUCUUGAUUUGCGCUUUAAACCCAGGGGAAGAGUUGGUGACCUGAGAGAGAGAGAGAGAGAGAGAGAGAGAGUGAGACAGAGAGAGAGACCACAAGUCAUUACAUACUAUACAAUCACACUUGCUCCUUUCUUCCUCUUCUAUUCUCCUUUGUUGCUUUCUCCCUCGCUCAUGCUCUCAUGUUGUCUUUCCCUCUCUUUCACCAUUUCUUUUCUUUCUUUGACAUUUUUCCUCUCUCUCUCUCUCUCUCUCUCUCUCUCUCU
Molecule: long non-coding RNA, 3448 nt
Organism: Ictalurus punctatus (channel catfish)
Lineage: Eukaryota; Metazoa; Chordata; Actinopteri; Siluriformes; Ictaluridae
Source: Ensembl